UUUCAUGCAGUGGCAUGCUUGGAUGCAGUAGAAGUAGUUACUUGCGGUGUGGCAGCAGCGGAAGAAUGAGUUUCAGUGGUGUAGGUAGUGGUUUGAAGAGCUGUUUGAUGAGGUGAACACUAACUCAGGUGGCCUUCAAUAGAAGGAAGGUAGGUGGGGAGGGAAAGCUCAAUUUGGAGGUGACUUUUGGCAGAGUUUUGGAUGCUGGAAUUUGCUUCAGCAAAGAUAAAACUCAUUUAAUCAUCAAAAGUGAAAUACAAGUGUUGCCAUGGUGGGUUUUAUAGAUGAACCGACUUGGCCGUGUGAAGAACUCAUGAUCCGUGAAAAGUGGAUCAGCUGCCACGUAUCAGACCAUGUGCAGCAUGUGCUUUGCCUUCUAGAAGGCUUAUUUACAAUGUGAGAAAAUGCAAUUUAAACAUGUGGCCACGUGAUGGAUUGGAAGACUUCAUGUGCUUCCAAGUUGCAGCCCUUUCCUUGCCAAGCUCACCCCCCU
Molecule: long non-coding RNA, 493 nt
Filed under: Vigna radiata
Lineage: Eukaryota; Viridiplantae; Streptophyta; Magnoliopsida; Fabales; Fabaceae
Description: long non-coding RNA (VRAD_LNC009859)
Source: RNAcentral